AUACGAAGGGGGCUAGCGUUGUUCGGAAUUACUGGGCGUAAAGCGCGCGUAGGCGGAUUGGUCAGUUAGGGGUGAAAUCCCAGGGCUUAACCCUGGAACUGCCUCUGAUACUGCCAGUCUUGAGUUCGGGAGAGGUGCGUGGAAUUCCUAGUGUAGAGGUGAAAUUCGUAGAUAUUAGGAAGAACACCAGUGGCGAAGGCGGCUCACUGGCCCGAUACUGACGCUGAGGCGCGAAAGCGUGGGGAGCAAACAGGAUUAGAAACCCUAGUAGUCC
Molecule: ribosomal RNA, 274 nt
Filed under: uncultured bacterium
Lineage: Bacteria
Description: partial 16S ribosomal RNA
Rfam family: Bacterial small subunit ribosomal RNA
Source: RNAcentral